This 443-nucleotide ribosomal RNA is filed under the name Trifolium strictum. RNAcentral describes it as "eukaryotic LSU rRNA". The stretch from base 303 to 443 matches the Rfam family "Eukaryotic large subunit ribosomal RNA", at positions 1 to 141 of the family's 3401-position model. Lineage: Eukaryota; Viridiplantae; Streptophyta; Magnoliopsida; Fabales; Fabaceae. The record is from RNAcentral.
UGCAGAAUCCCGUGAACCAUCGAGUCUUUGAACGCAAGUUGCGCCCAAUGCCAUUAGGCUGAGGGCACGUCUGCCUGGGCGUCACAUAUCGAAGUCUCUUGCCAAUUUCCUAUUGAUAGGUACUGUGCAGGGCGAAUGUUGGCCUCCCGUGAGCUACAUUGUCUCAUGGUUGGUUGAAAAUCGAGACCUUGGUAGUGUGUGCCAUGAUAGAUGGUGGAUGUGCGACCCACGAGACCAAAAAUCAUGUCUCCUCUAUCAAAUUUAGUCUCUUUUACCCAUAUGCGUUCUAAACGCUCGUGAUGAGACCUCAGGUCAGGCGGGGCUACCCGCUGAAUUUAAGCAUAUCAAUAAGCGGAGGAAAAGAAACUAACAAGGAUUCCCUUAGUAACGGCGAGCGAACCGGGAUAAGCCCACCAUGAGAAUCGACCGCCCUCGGCGUUCGA